This 462-nucleotide ribosomal RNA is filed under the name Listeria monocytogenes. RNAcentral describes it as "bacterial SSU rRNA". It matches the Rfam family "Bacterial small subunit ribosomal RNA", at positions 325 to 779 of the family's 1533-position model. Lineage: Bacteria; Bacillati; Bacillota; Bacilli; Caryophanales; Listeriaceae. The record is from RNAcentral.
CACGGCCCAGACUCCUACGGGAGGCAGCAGUAGGGAAUCUUCCGCAAUGGACGAAAGUCUGACGGAGCAACGCCGCGUGUAUGAAGAAGGUUUUCGGAUCGUAAAGUACUGUUGUUAGAGAAGAACAAGGAUAAGAGUAACUGCUUGUCCCUUGACGGUAUCUAACCAGAAAGCCACGGCUAACUACGUGCCAGCAGCCGCGGUAAUACGUAGGUGGCAAGCGUUGUCCGGAUUUAUUGGGCGUAAAGCGCGCGCAGGCGGUCUUUUAAGUCUGAUGUGAAAGCCCCCGGCUUAACCGGGGAGGGUCAUUGGAAACUGGAAGACUGGAGUGCAGAAGAGGAGAGUGGAAUUCCACGUGUAGCGGUGAAAUGCGUAGAUAUGUGGAGGAACACCAGUGGCGAAGGCGACUCUCUGGUCUGUAACUGACGCUGAGGCGCGAAAGCGUGGGGAGCAAACAGGAUU